UGGAACAAUUUAGGCAAGGGAAGUCGGCAAAACGGAUCCGUAACUUCGGGAAAAGGAUUGUCUAUGAGGACUGGGCUCGGGGGUCCCGGCCCCGAACCCGUCGGCUGUCGGCGGAUUGCUCGAGCUGCUCAUGCGGCGAGCGGGUCGCCGCGUGCCGGCUGGGGGACGGACCGGGAAUCGCCCCUUCGGGGGCUUUCCUCGAGCAUGAAACAGUCGACUCAAAACUGGUACGAACAAGGGGAAUUUGACUGUUUAAUUAAAACAAAGCAUUGCGAUGGUCCUCGCGGAUGCUGACGCAAUGUGAUUUCUGCUCAGUGCUCUGAAUGUCAAAGUGAAGAAAUUCAACCAAGCGGGUAAAUGGCAGGAGUAACUAUGACUCUCUUAAGGUAGCCAAAUGGCUCGUCAUCUAAUUAGUGACGCGCAUGAAUGGAUUAACGAGAUUCCCACUGUCCCUGUCUACUAUCCAGCAAAACCACAGCCAAGGGAACGGGCUUGG
Molecule: ribosomal RNA, 496 nt
Filed under: Triticum dicoccoides
Lineage: Eukaryota; Viridiplantae; Streptophyta; Magnoliopsida; Poales; Poaceae
Description: rRNA LSU_rRNA_eukarya
Rfam family: Eukaryotic large subunit ribosomal RNA
Source: RNAcentral